This 442-nucleotide ribosomal RNA is filed under the name Phasmarhabditis sp. DL308. RNAcentral's name for it is "SSU rRNA". Lineage: Eukaryota; Metazoa; Nematoda; Chromadorea; Rhabditida; Rhabditidae. The record is from RNAcentral.
CCAUGCAUGUCGAGUUCAUUUUAAGAAACUGCGAACGGCUCAUUAGAGCAGAUUUUAACGAUUCCAGGAAUCCUUAUUGGAUAACUGUGGUAAUUCUGGAGCUAAUACAUGCAACAAUGCUCAGUUUCGGCUGAGUGCAGUUAUUAGWACGAACCAAUCGCUUUCGGGCGUAGUUUGUUGACUCUGAAUACCUAGUUUAUCGGCGGUUUAUCCGCUGAAGUCUGGAAUUUUGUGUCUGCCCUAUCAACUAGAUGAUAGUCUAUUAGUCUAUCAUGGUUGUAACGGGUAACGGAGAAUCAGGGUUCGACUCCGGAGAGGGAGCCUUAGAAACGGCUACCACAUCCAAGGAAGGCAGCAGGCGCGUAACUUAUCCACUACUGUUUGUGAGAUAGGGACAGAACAUAAAAAGACUCAUCUUUCUAGAUGGGUUAUUUCAAUGAGU